GACGAACGCUGGCGGCGCGCCUAACACAUGCAAGUCGAACGGAGUCAAGAGGAGCUUGCUUUUCUUGACUUAGUGGCGAACGGGUGGGUAACGCGUGAGUAACCUGCCCUGGAGUGGGGGACAACAGUUGGAAACGACUGCUAAUACCGCAUAAGCCCACGGAUCCGCAUGGAUCUGCGGGAAAAGGAUUUAUUCGCUUCAGGAUGGACUCGCGUCCAAUUAGCUAGUUGGUGAGGUAACGGCCCACCAAGGCGACGAUUGGUAGCCGGACUGAGAGGUUGAACGGCCACAGUGGGACUGAGACACGGCCCAGACUCCUACGGGAGGCAGCAGUGGGGGAUAUUGCACAAUGGGGGAAACCCUGAUGCAGCGACGCCGCGUGGAGGAAGAAGGUUUUCGGAUUGUAAACUCCUGUCGUUAGGGACGAUAAUGACGGUACCUAACAAGAAAGCACCGGCUAACUACGUG
RNAcentral lists this ribosomal RNA (468 nucleotides) under uncultured bacterium. RNAcentral's name for it is "partial 16S ribosomal RNA". It matches the Rfam family "Bacterial small subunit ribosomal RNA", at positions 28 to 507 of the family's 1533-position model. The record is from RNAcentral.